Molecule: long non-coding RNA, 1858 nt
Organism: Oxyura jamaicensis (ruddy duck)
Lineage: Eukaryota; Metazoa; Chordata; Aves; Anseriformes; Anatidae
Exons: 2
Source: RefSeq, a predicted model, not a curated record
UUAUCAGUGAAGCUAAAAUCCAAACUAAUUGAUUUUGAUUUUAAAAAAUCAAGUAUAAGAAAGUAAUUUACUCAGAACAGAUAUGAUAAGAAUUUUUUACUGUGCGAAUUUACUUUUGAGUUUGAUUUACUACAUUUAAUGCGUUGUAAAAAAAAAAAAAAAAAAAAGAGUUCAAAAGUUUCAUCUGAAAUAAAUAAUUAGAAUCUUUAGAUCAACCCAAACAAAAACAAAUUUUACUGGGUCUUCUGCAGAACUGAUUGCUGAAAUUUAUUUAUCUGUAGCAAAUAUUGAAGAUAUAACACCUCCCUGUUUGGGAAGAGGCUGGUACAUUGAUGGUUCUUUAUCUACAGAUCAUAUUGCCUGCAUUUCCUAAUCCUUAAAAAUAAAGAUCCUAUUAAAGACAAGAUGUGAAAGCACAAACACCAGCACAGUACCACAGAAAGCAGACAGCAAUAUUGAAAAAUAAAUUUAUGUCCAUGCCUGCUUGAUAAAAAACAGGGAAGCUGUUGGAGAAGAAAACAAAACAUUGAAAGGUCUUUCCCACGCCAUGGGACUGCUGGCCAUUCUGACAACUUUGGUCUGUUCCAGGAUGGUGUAGGGAAUUGUCAUUUCCUUAAUUUGGAUCUCAGUGAGGGAAGGUAACUGUGACACCUCAUCAGGUUGGGCUCCAGUUUUCUCAUCACCACCGGAAUUUUAGUCUGCUUCUUGAUGUUCCUUAACGUGCCUUCUCGGAACUAGUGAAUCUCAGCUUCUUUUUGUAUGAACAUGGGCAGAACACCUUUUCUGCUAGAAACGCCCAUAAGCUAGCACACAGUGAGCUAAAUGAAUGAACUGAUUAUGACUGAAAGGAUUUCACAUCAUUUUCCCAGAAAUAAAUCAUUUUUUCCUGUCUAAUACUGUUCCAAAAUACAUUAAGAUAAAGAGGCUUCAUAGCUUGUUUGGAAGGUUGUCAGGCAACAUCUUCCCAAAGCAGCAAUCUGAAAUUAAGAAACCUCCCCAAGAAGUUUGUUCAGCGUCUGGCUGGGGGCUCAUUUUAUCCCUGCCACGUAAAUCUGGACUUUGUACAUCUCUCUUCUUCCCAUCAGUGCUGGAUCAACAGUCAUGACAAAAUCAUAAAGCUGCGUGUGAACUGUCAGAAGAGAAGCCUGGUUUCUUUUCUUGAUCCUGGAUUGGCUGAAUUAUUGUCUUGACUUGAAGAGUGCCUGGAGAUAUCUCAGGGGCCUUGCACAGUACCUCCUCAGUAAAAGUUUAUGGUCUAUUGUGCAAGAGGGACAAAUGUGGGCAGGAAAAUGGAGACAUCACUUGUCCUGGGCUACACAAUAUGCUACCCAUUUGUGCCGACUGUUCAUUUAAAUUCAUCACGACACAAGAAAGCUUACUGCAACAGGGGCCAUGAAUUUUGAUUGGGACCCUUCUGUACAACAAAGAGAGACAAGAAGAAAUGAAAGUGCAAUGGACGAAUCUGGAGUCAGAACCACAGCUAUGGUAAGUUCCCCAUUUAUAAGGAAACAUCAUCUUCAUCUGCUAUGGCAUUUGGCCUGUUCUUCUUUUUCAUACUGCUAAAUAGAAUGUGUAUCUAUGCAUACACAGAGAGAGUAUCUGUAGUGUAAUGCUUAUAUUGUAAAAUACAUGUGCUUUAGAAGUUAUGGGCUCAGUUUAUAUGGCAUACACAGGGUCUGACUGUGUCAGACCACGGGGUAUGAAGUCACCACAAGGAUCGUCAUGCCAGCCUUUCCCAGCUACAAGCAAUUGUAUACUUGAUGCUUAAUCCACAAGGAUUCACAAGUCUGCUCCAUGUACAACAGCCCCGGAACCCUUCUGUUCACCUCUAGCAAAUACAAGAUGUCAGGUUACUGAC